Molecule: long non-coding RNA, 957 nt
Organism: Bombus impatiens (common eastern bumble bee)
Lineage: Eukaryota; Metazoa; Arthropoda; Insecta; Hymenoptera; Apidae
Exons: 5
Source: RefSeq, a predicted model, not a curated record
CGUACGUGUUGUGCAGGGCCGUGCCGUUAUGAAUUCAAACCUUCAAGCUUUAGAUGCACCCAAGAAGAACCAUCUUGAUCGUUACUGGUGCGGAAGUGAUGACCUUGGAGCGUUUUAAGUCGAAAUUGGUAUUUAGGUCAAUAGGUCUCAUAGCACAGGCUCAUGGUGACAUCUGGUGGUCAAUAGAGGAAACGCUUGAUGUGUAUUUACUCGAGGGAAAGUUGCAAGGAACCGUUACGCGAUCGUCAAUUCAAACGUCUCCUCUGCCAAAUACGUGGACAGACCUGCCCAUGAUGGGUGAAGGGGUGUAACGGAUCUUCCCGAACUUUCGCGAAAUCUGGACUGGUUGGCCAUCCGGUGAAAAGCAGGUUGAUAUAACUUAACCUUUUAUUACAAUGUGACUAUAUCGAACAAAGCUAUGACAUCCCAUCGAAGUCCGGUCCCAAGUUGCUCAGCGUUGCUUACUAGCUGCUUCAACAGACCGUCCUGAAACCCAUUUAAAUGGAACAUAUAUUACACAUAGGUAGGAGCAAUGUAACGCUGUAAGGUGGUAACUUAAAACUUCACAUGCAAUGCAAGAUAUUUUAAUAAACAUUACCCUGUCUUAAAACAGGUUUGUUUGGCACGUUUUUAUGGAUGAAAUUAAACUAGAAAUACGAGGAAAAGAACGAAACUCAUAUCGAGAUGAAGCUUAAUACUUUAGUACUAUAACAUUUACUAUAUGGAUGUGGUUGUAAUUAAAAAGUAAUGUAGAAAUAACUCUAUCGUACGAAAUUAUAAAAUGAUGCAGAUAUUUCAAAUUUCAAAUACCGAGGAUUACACGAUACCAUAGAGAUACUGUAGAUUCAAGAAGAGAAUGGAAGAAGAAAUAGGGAAUAAAAUAUUCCAAAUUUUAAGAUGGAUGUAUGAGAAUUUUCACUUGGCAAUUGCAUCAGAUUAAAGAAGAGAAUAAGAAGA